GGCCUGGUGGUCUAGAGGUAUGAUUCCUUCUUAGGGCCCGUGUUUAAACACAGAUCAUGCUUGUAUGGAGGAGGUCCCGGGUUCAAUUCCCGGCUAGGCCC
Clathrus columnatus is the source of this 101-nucleotide non-coding RNA. Lineage: Eukaryota; Fungi; Basidiomycota; Agaricomycetes; Phallales; Clathraceae. The record is from the annotation of a GenBank genome assembly.